UGCCACAUGAAACCNCCUAUCUGUGCAGCA
This 30-nucleotide non-coding RNA is filed under the name Rattus norvegicus (Norway rat). The record is from RNAcentral. Lineage: Eukaryota; Metazoa; Chordata; Mammalia; Rodentia; Muridae.